GAUGAACGCUAGCUACAGGCUUAACACAUGCAAGUCGAGGGGCAGCAUGACCUAGCAAUAGGUUGAUGGCGACCGGCGCACGGGUGAGUAACACGUAUCCAACCUACCGGUUAUUCUGGGAUAGCCUUUCGAAAGAAAGAUUAAUACCGGAUAGUAUAACGAGAAGGCAUCUUUUUGUUAUUAAAGAAUUUCGAUAAUCGAUGGGGAUGCGUUCCAUUAGUUUGUUGGCGGGGUAACGGCCCACCAAGACAUCGAUGGAUAGGGGUUCUGAGAGGAAGGUCCCCCACAUUGGAACUGAGACACGGUCCAAACUCCUACGGGAGGCAGCAGUGAGGAAUAUUGGUCAAUGGACGAGAGUCUGAACCAGCCAAGUAGCGUGAAGGAUGACUGCCCUAUGGGUUGUAAACUUCUUUUAUAUGGGAAUAAAGUGAGCCA
This 435-nucleotide ribosomal RNA is filed under the name uncultured bacterium. RNAcentral's name for it is "bacterial SSU rRNA". It matches the Rfam family "Bacterial small subunit ribosomal RNA", at positions 28 to 458 of the family's 1533-position model. The record is from RNAcentral.